GCAGAGUAGGUAUGUGCGCGUUAUAUACCGGGAUGUUCCGGUAUCAGUGCCAGUUGGACGGGGAGUUGCCACUGGACGAAAAACCAUUUGGUUUACGGUGCAUUUACCGCAUCCCGCUGC
Molecule: non-coding RNA, 120 nt
Filed under: human gut metagenome
Description: THF riboswitch
Rfam family: THF (Tetrahydrofolate) riboswitch aptamer
About the family: THF riboswitch presents a pseudoknot that joins P1-P2 and the loop of P3 and two THF binding.
Source: RNAcentral